RNAcentral lists this transfer RNA (74 nucleotides) under Candidatus Parcubacteria bacterium. Its description in RNAcentral is "tRNA-Lys". It matches the Rfam family "tRNA". Rfam says of the family: Transfer RNA (tRNA) molecules are approximately 80 nucleotides in length. Their secondary structure includes four short double-helical elements and three loops (D, anti-codon, and T loops). The record is from RNAcentral. Lineage: Bacteria; Candidatus Parcubacteria.
GCCCCCAUAGCUUAGUGGUAAAGCAGUUGCCUUUUAAGCAAUUGACGCGGGUUCGAUUCCUGCUGGGGGCACCA